RNAcentral lists this ribosomal RNA (353 nucleotides) under uncultured bacterium. RNAcentral describes it as "bacterial SSU rRNA". It matches the Rfam family "Bacterial small subunit ribosomal RNA", at positions 8 to 349 of the family's 1533-position model. The record is from RNAcentral.
AGAGUUUGAUCAUGGCUCAGGAUGAACGCUAGCUACAGGCUUAACACAUGCAAGUCGAGGGGAACGAUAUUGGAAGCUUGCUUCCGAUAGGCGUCGACCGGCGCACGGGUGAGUAACGCGUAUCCAACCUGCCCACCACUUGGGGAUAACCUUGCGAAAGUAAGACUAAUACCCAAUGAUAUCUCUAGAAGACAUCUGAAAGAGAUUAAAGAUUUAUCGGUGAUGGAUGGGGAUGCGUCUGAUUAGCUUGUUGGCGGGGUAACGGCCCACCAAGGCGACGAUCAGUAGGGGUUCUGAGAGGAAGGUCCCCCACAUUGGAACUGAGACACGGUCCCAAACUCCUACGGGGAGGC